UACGUAGGGAGCAAGCGUUGUCCGGAAUCAUUGGGCGUAAAGCGCGCGUAGGCGGCCCGAUAAGUCCGCUGUGAAAGUCAACGGCUCAACUGUUGGAUGCCGGUGGAUACUGUCGGGCUAGGAGUACGGAAGAGGCAAGUGGAAUUCCGGGUGUAGCGGUGGAAUGCGUAGAGAUCCGGAAGAACACCGGUGGCGAAGGCGGCCUGCUGGGCAGUACGCUGACAACUGAGGCGCGGACAGCGGUGGGGAGC
RNAcentral lists this ribosomal RNA (251 nucleotides) under uncultured bacterium. Its description in RNAcentral is "partial 16S ribosomal RNA". It matches the Rfam family "Bacterial small subunit ribosomal RNA", at positions 524 to 769 of the family's 1533-position model. The record is from RNAcentral.